ACAUAACACUCUUCUAUGAAUUCUAUACAUGCAUAUUAUUUUUAUACCUUAUUCUUGUUUUAGGUUUCUCUUUCCUUUUAUUUGCAUAUGUUACUAAUCUCCUUACCUUCUCAUUUCUCUAUUCACAUUUAUUAUAAAUUUCAUUUUCUUACUUAUGACAGAUUCCUACGUAAGUCUUAUCUAUCAACAUUUUUCCUACUUUCAUAUUGAUUCAUCU
Molecule: long non-coding RNA, 217 nt
Filed under: Carica papaya (papaya)
Lineage: Eukaryota; Viridiplantae; Streptophyta; Magnoliopsida; Brassicales; Caricaceae
Description: long non-coding RNA (CPAP_LNC012410)
Source: RNAcentral